GUUGUUUUGGCCGAGAAGUUAAGGCGAUGGACUAGAAAUCCAUUGGGGUCUCCCUGUGUAGGUUCGAGUCCUACCAGCAACG
Non-coding RNA from Cyprinodon variegatus (sheepshead minnow), 82 nucleotides. Lineage: Eukaryota; Metazoa; Chordata; Actinopteri; Cyprinodontiformes; Cyprinodontidae. The record is from the annotation of a RefSeq genome assembly.